RNAcentral lists this ribosomal RNA (137 nucleotides) under uncultured eukaryote. RNAcentral describes it as "partial 18S ribosomal RNA". It matches the Rfam family "Eukaryotic small subunit ribosomal RNA", at positions 1299 to 1458 of the family's 1831-position model. The record is from RNAcentral.
UGGUGGAGUGAUUUGUCUGCUUAAUUGCGAUAACGAACGAGACCUUAACCUGCUAAAUAGCCCGGCCGGCCUCGGCCGGUCGCCGGCUUCUUAGAGGGACUAUCGGCUCAAGCCGAUGGAAGUUUGAGGCAAUAACA